GCUGGGUGCAGUGGUGCACGCCUGUAAUCCCAGCUACUUGGGAGGCUGAGGCAGGAGAAUCACUUGAACCCGGGAGGUGGAGGUUGCAGUGAGCCGAGAUGGAGCCACUGCACUCCAACCUGGGCGACAGAGCAAGACUGUAUCNNNNNNNNNNGAUACAGUCUUGCUCUGUCGCCCAGGUUGGAGUGCAGUGGCUCCAUCUCGGCUCACUGCAACCUCCACCUCCCGGGUUCAAGUGAUUCUCCUGUCUUAG
RNAcentral lists this signal recognition particle RNA (253 nucleotides) under Chlorocebus sabaeus (green monkey). Its description in RNAcentral is "Metazoan signal recognition particle RNA". It matches the Rfam family "Metazoan signal recognition particle RNA". Rfam says of the family: The signal recognition particle (SRP) is a universally conserved ribonucleoprotein. It is involved in the co-translational targeting of proteins to membranes. The eukaryotic SRP consists of a 300-nucleotide 7S RNA and six proteins: SRPs 72, 68, 54, 19, 14, and 9. The record is from Rfam by way of RNAcentral. Lineage: Eukaryota; Metazoa; Chordata; Mammalia; Primates; Cercopithecidae.